GCGGGGGUUGCCAAGCCAGGUCAAAGGCGCGAGAACUCAAACCUCGUCCCGUAGGGGUUCGUGGGUUCAAAUCCCACCCCCCGCACCA
Molecule: transfer RNA, 88 nt
Filed under: Crenarchaeota archaeon 13_1_20CM_2_51_8
Lineage: Archaea; Thermoproteati; Thermoproteota
Also listed under: 1 other name
Description: tRNA-Sec
Rfam family: tRNA
About the family: Transfer RNA (tRNA) molecules are approximately 80 nucleotides in length. Their secondary structure includes four short double-helical elements and three loops (D, anti-codon, and T loops). Further hydrogen bonds mediate the characteristic L-shaped molecular structure. tRNAs have two regions of fundamental functional importance: the anti-codon, which is responsible for specific mRNA codon recognition, and the 3' end, to which the tRNAs corresponding amino acid is attached (by aminoacyl-tRNA synthetases). tRNAs cope with the degeneracy of the genetic code in two manners: having more than one tRNA (with a specific anti-codon) for a particular amino acid; and 'wobble' base-pairing, i.e. permitting non-standard base-pairing at the 3rd anti-codon position.
Source: RNAcentral